RNAcentral lists this ribosomal RNA (253 nucleotides) under uncultured bacterium. RNAcentral describes it as "partial 16S ribosomal RNA". It matches the Rfam family "Bacterial small subunit ribosomal RNA", at positions 524 to 776 of the family's 1533-position model. The record is from RNAcentral.
UACGGGGGGGGCAAGCGUUGUUCGGAAUUACUGGGCGUAAAGGGCUCGUAGGUGGCCAACUAAGUCAGACGUGAAAUCCCCAGGCUCAACUUGGGAACUGCGUCUGAUACUGGAUGGCUUGAAUUCGGGAGAGGGAUGCAGAAUUCCAGGUGUAGCGGCGAAAUGCGUAGAUAUCUGGAGGAAUACCGGUGGCGAAGGCGGCAUCCUGGACCAACACUGACGCUGAGGAGCGAAAGCCAGGGGAGCAAACGGG